GCCGGGCAUGGUGGCUCAUGCCUGUAAUCCCAACACUUUGGGAGGCCGAGGCAGGUGGAUCACCUGAGGUCAGGAGGUCGAGACCAGCCUGACCAACAUGGAGAAACCCUGUCUCCA
RNAcentral lists this non-coding RNA (117 nucleotides) under Chlorocebus sabaeus (green monkey). Lineage: Eukaryota; Metazoa; Chordata; Mammalia; Primates; Cercopithecidae. The record is from Rfam by way of RNAcentral.